GGUUGAAUGUCCGAGCGGUCUAAGGAGCACGCCUCGAAAGCGUGUGAGGUUUUCAGCCUCCGAGAGUUCGAAUCUCUCUUCAACCG
This 86-nucleotide transfer RNA is filed under the name Aeriscardovia sp. RNAcentral's name for it is "tRNA-Ser". It matches the Rfam family "tRNA". Rfam says of the family: Transfer RNA (tRNA) molecules are approximately 80 nucleotides in length. The record is from RNAcentral. Lineage: Bacteria; Bacillati; Actinomycetota; Actinomycetes; Bifidobacteriales; Bifidobacteriaceae.